ACAUACAGUGUCAUCCCUCCGCCUCUUCUGCCCUGCAUAUCCCUCCUGAAGAGCCUGUAACUGUCCAACGGGGCACUCCAGUCAUAGGACUCAUCCCAUCAGGGGAACCAGGCAGAGGUUACAGAUCAAUACAAGCUACCUAAAGUCUAAACAGAGACCAAGACACAGCCUUCCCACACAAAACACCUUCAAACAACCCAGCUCUGGCUCUUGUUGCCUCCAGUGGAGCUGCUGGAUAUUCAAAUGCUUGGGAAGACAGCUUAUAUUCAAGUAGCCAGUGAUGGAUUUAAGUGCUUUGCUCUAUGUUUGCAGUUGGAUUUUCACAUGCUGCUUUCUUUCCUGAGAUGUGCUGGGGCUACAGGGAACUCUUUUUAAAUGGGCGUAGAAAUGGUAAACACAAGUGGAAGAAGGGCUUCUGCCCCACAGACUCCAGUCUCCUGUUUCUACCUCUUCUAGCCGCCUCCUUUGCUCCUUCUGCUGCUCGAUGCGCUUUUGCCUCUCUGCCAGCAGCUGCCUCUUGUACUCCUCCUGUUCACGGAGCUGCUGCUCCUGCAGCAGCUGCUGUCUCCGAAGGGCCUCAGACCGUUCCUUGUUUUCCUGCUGCAGUCUCAGGAAAUCACGUCGGAGGGUUGAUUCUCCAGGCACAUUGACAAUGGAACUGCAACAAGAGGAAGUUAAAGCCUCCAGUACAAAAGAGCCUGAUGAGCCAUUACAUACCUUUUCCAAGCAGGAAAUUUUUAUUAAAAUAUUUAAUAAAAUAUAUCAUGAUGUUAAA
Pipra filicauda (Wire-tailed manakin) is the source of this 775-nucleotide long non-coding RNA. RefSeq lists it as uncharacterized. Lineage: Eukaryota; Metazoa; Chordata; Aves; Passeriformes; Pipridae. The record is from RefSeq and is a predicted model, not a curated record. The transcript is spliced from 3 exons.